UUGCUUGUUUUGGCAGCACAUAUACUAAAAUUGAACAAUACAGAGAUUAGCUUGGCCCCUGAGCAAAGAUGACACACAAAUUCGUGAAGUGUUCCAUAUUUUU
Sciurus carolinensis (gray squirrel) is the source of this 103-nucleotide small nuclear RNA. The record is from RefSeq and is a predicted model, not a curated record. NCBI's taxonomy places the organism in Eukaryota, Metazoa, Chordata, Mammalia, Rodentia, Sciuridae.